UGCACACCCAGUCCCUUUGAUAUGAAGCAUCAACAUCAAUUAAAUCUCAUGGGUCUUAUAGUGCACCAGGCAAGUUACAGGCAAGUCACCUACAGAAGGGGCGAUAUAUGAAACCAAAAACAAAGAUUACUGGCAGUGAGAGUGAUCUGUAGGGUGUGUUCUGUAGACAGCUGGAAUGACAGGACUCCUGACACUCAGAAGGUUCAUCUGAGAGCAGUCAGCUAUAGGAGCUCACCGCUGUGUGGGAGGAAACAUCAGAAAAUGCAGAGAAGUCGAACGCAAGCGAUCAUGUAAAAAAAAAGAUGAAACCGUUUAAAAGGUGAAGCAGACUCACCAAAGUUGGUUGAGUGUUUUACACAUUUCAGAUUCCACCUGGCUCAAGUUCAGACUGGAGAUCACUUCUUUAAAAAAAACAACAGUUUCUGUAUACAAUACCAAAAAUGUGGGGCCAGUUCAAAAUAGAUUUUCUCUAAGAAAUAAAUACUUUCAUUCAACAAGGAUGCCUUAAACUGCAUCAAAAGUAGUUACUGUUUACAAAUAUUAC
Long non-coding RNA from Carassius carassius (crucian carp), 544 nucleotides. RefSeq lists it as uncharacterized. The transcript has 3 exons. NCBI's taxonomy places the organism in Eukaryota, Metazoa, Chordata, Actinopteri, Cypriniformes, Cyprinidae. The record is from RefSeq and is a predicted model, not a curated record.